UUGCCCCCCUCCCCCUUUGACCUCGACCCUUCCGUGGGAUUCGUUCAAAUACGGAUACAUGUAUCGCUGUCGUCGCUGUAUUCGCCUCUGUUGAUGUUCGUUUCGGGGACCAACUUUGCUCUCGACGUUACUAAGAGAGACGACUGACAGCUGUCCAGCAAACAUCUCCGCACGAUGGUUACAAAUUAUAUUAACGAGCCGGAUCUUGAUAUCAUUAUGGCAAUUGACGGGAAUGUAACAAUAACGGUGGAGGAUGAGGAAUUUUUUUUUUCCAAGCCGGAUAAUUGACUGCUGAACGUGUGUGCGUGUAAUUAAAAGAGCAAUUCAUUUGGAACGUUAUCAAAUAUUUCUGCACGAUGGUUACAAAAUAUAAUAUACAUAGUAA
Megalopta genalis is the source of this 385-nucleotide non-coding RNA. The record is from RefSeq and is a predicted model, not a curated record. NCBI's taxonomy places the organism in Eukaryota, Metazoa, Arthropoda, Insecta, Hymenoptera, Halictidae.